RNAcentral lists this ribosomal RNA (468 nucleotides) under uncultured bacterium. RNAcentral describes it as "partial 16S ribosomal RNA". It matches the Rfam family "Bacterial small subunit ribosomal RNA", at positions 28 to 507 of the family's 1533-position model. The record is from RNAcentral.
GACGAACGCUGGCGGCGUGCUUAACACAUGCAAGUCGAACGGAAAGGCCCUGCUUUCGUGGGGUGCUCGAGUGGCGAACGGGUGAGUAACACGUGAGUAACCUGCCCUUGACUUUGGGAUAACUUCAGGAAACUGGGGCUAAUACCGUAUAGGAGCUCCUGUUGCAUGGAGGGGGUUGGAACGUUUCGGCGGUUGGGGAUGGACUCGCGGCUUAUCAGCUUGUUGGUGGGGUAGUGGCUUACCAAGGCUUUGACGGGUAGCCGGCCUGAGAGGGUGACCGGCCACAUUGGGACUGAGAUACGGCCCAGACUCCUACGGGAGGCAGCAGUGGGGAAUAUUGCACAAUGGGCGGAAGCCUGAUGCAGCAACGCCGCGUGCGGGAUGACGGCCUUCGGGUUGUAAACCGCUUUCGCCUGUGACGAAGCGUGAGUGACGGUAAUGGGUAAAGAAGCACCGGCUAACUACGUG